GAGUUUGAUCAUGGCUCAGAUUGAACGCUGGCGGCAGGCUUAACACAUGCAAGUCGAGCGGUAACAGGGGAAGCUUGCUUCCCGCUGACGAGCGGCGGACGGGUGAGUAAUGCUUAGGAAUCUGCCCAGUAGUGGGGGAUAGCCCGGGGAAACCCGGAUUAAUACCGCAUACGUCCUACGGGAGAAAGCAGGGGAUCUUCGGACCUUGCGCUAUUGGAUGAGCCUAAGUCGGAUUAGCUAGUUGGUGGGGUAAAGGCCUACCAAGGCGACGAUCCGUAGCUGGUCUGAGAGGAUGAUCAGCCACAUCGGGACUGAGACACGGCCCGAACUCCUACGGGAGGCAGCAGUGGGGAAUAUUGGACAAUGGGGGCAACCCUGAUCCAGCCAUGCCGCGUGUGUGAAGAAGGCUUUCGGGUUGUAAAGCACUUUCAGUAGGGAGGAAAACCUUAUGGCUAAUACCCAUGAGGCUUGACGUUACCUACAGAAGAAGCACCGGCUAACUCCGUGCCAGCAGCCGCGGUAAUACGGAGGGUGCAAGCGUUAAUCGGAAUUACUGGGCGUAAAGCGCGCGUAGGUGGUUUGGUAAGCG
Molecule: ribosomal RNA, 589 nt
Filed under: uncultured bacterium
Lineage: Bacteria
Description: bacterial SSU rRNA
Rfam family: Bacterial small subunit ribosomal RNA
Source: RNAcentral